UGCGGUAUCCUGACCGUGCUAAGGUAGCGUAAUAAUUCGCCCUUUAAUUGGGGGCUUGUAUGAACGGACAAACGAAAGAUUUUCUGUCUCCUUUAUAUUAAUAAAAAUUGACCUUCAGGUGAAGAUGCCUGAAUUAUGUUAGAAGACAAGAAGACCCCAUAGAGCUUAGUUUACUACAUUCAAUAACCAAUAAAUUAUUUAUAAAAAUAAAUAUUUAACUCCCUAAACUUGGCUGGGGCGGCAUGGGAGAAAACCACAAUCCUCCACAUCACUAUAUAUUAAGGCCAAUAAGCCAUACCAAACAAUUAUAAAUGAUCUUUACUAUAACCAUAAAACAAGCUACCUUGGGGAUAACAGAUUAAUCCUUCUUGAGAGUCCACAUUAACAGAAGGGCUUGACACCUCGAUGUUGGCUUAGGGUAUCCUAAGGGUAGCAGCAGCCCUUAAAGGUAGGUUUGUUCAACCUUCAAAACCCUACAUGAUCUGAGUUCAAACCGGAGA
RNAcentral lists this ribosomal RNA (500 nucleotides) under Spinosphaera hutchingsae. Its description in RNAcentral is "partial large subunit ribosomal RNA". It matches the Rfam family "Bacterial large subunit ribosomal RNA", at positions 1932 to 2622 of the family's 2925-position model. Lineage: Eukaryota; Metazoa; Annelida; Polychaeta; Terebellida; Terebellidae. The record is from RNAcentral.